AGUGAACGCUGGCGGUAGGCCUAACACAUGCAAGUCGAACGGCAGCGCAGUAAGAGCUUGCUCUUACGGGUGGCGAGUGGCGGACGGGUGAGGAAUACAUCGGAAUCUACUUUUUCGUGGGGGAUAACGUAGGGAAACUUACGCUAAUACCGCAUACGACCUACGGGUGAAAGCAGGGGAUCUUCGGACCUUGCGCGAUUGAAUGAGCCGAUGUCGGAUUAGCUAGUUGGCGGGGUAAAGGCCCACCAAGGCGACGAUCCGUAGCUGGUCUGAGAGGAUGAUCAGCCACACUGGAACUGAGACACGGUCCAGACUCCCACGGGAGGCAGCAGUGGGGAAUAUUGGACAAUGGGCGCAAGCCUGAUCCAGCCAUACCGCGUGGGUGAAGAAGGCCUUCGGGUUGUAAAGCCCUUUUGUUGGGAAAGAAAAGCAGCAGGUUAAUACCCCGCUGUUCUGACGGUACCCAAAGAAUAAGCACCGGCUAACUUCGUG
This 492-nucleotide ribosomal RNA is filed under the name uncultured bacterium. RNAcentral describes it as "partial 16S ribosomal RNA". It matches the Rfam family "Bacterial small subunit ribosomal RNA", at positions 29 to 507 of the family's 1533-position model. The record is from RNAcentral.